RNAcentral lists this ribosomal RNA (665 nucleotides) under Escherichia coli. RNAcentral describes it as "partial 23S ribosomal RNA". It matches the Rfam family "Bacterial large subunit ribosomal RNA", at positions 2269 to 2925 of the family's 2925-position model. Lineage: Bacteria; Pseudomonadati; Pseudomonadota; Gammaproteobacteria; Enterobacterales; Enterobacteriaceae. The record is from RNAcentral.
UUUGACUGGGGCGGUCUCCUCCUAAAGAGUAACGGAGGAGCACGAAGGUUGGCUAAUCCUGGUCGGACAUCAGGAGGUUAGUGCAAUGGCAUAAGCCAGCUUGACUGCGAGCGUGACGGCGCGAGCAGGUGCGAAAGCAGGUCAUAGUGAUCCGGUGGUUCUGAAUGGAAGGGCCAUCGCUCAACGGAUAAAAGGUACUCCGGGGAUAACAGGCUGAUACCGCCCAAGAGUUCAUAUCGACGGCGGUGUUUGGCACCUCGAUGUCGGCUCAUCACAUCCUGGGGCUGAAGUAGGUCCCAAGGGUAUGGCUGUUCGCCAUUUAAAGUGGUACGCGAGCUGGGUUUAGAACGUCGUGAGACAGUUCGGUCCCUAUCUGCCGUGGGCGCUGGAGAACUGAGGGGGGCUGCUCCUAGUACGAGAGGACCGGAGUGGACGCAUCACUGGUGUUCGGGUUGUCAUGCCAAUGGCACUGCCCGGUAGCUAAAUGCGGAAGAGAUAAGUGCUGAAAGCAUCUAAGCACGAAACUUGCCCCGAGAUGAGUUCUCCCUGACUCCUUGAGAGUCCUGAAGGAACGUUGAAGACGACGACGUUGAUAGGCCGGGUGUGUAAGCGCAGCGAUGCGUUGAGCUAACCGGUACUAAUGAACCGUGAGGCUUAACCUUACA